This 1004-nucleotide long non-coding RNA is filed under the name Volvox carteri. RNAcentral describes it as "long non-coding RNA (VCAR_LNC001122)". Lineage: Eukaryota; Viridiplantae; Chlorophyta; Chlorophyceae; Chlamydomonadales; Volvocaceae. The record is from RNAcentral.
CAAACGCCUAAUACUGAGUUUACAUGCAACGUUACGUUAUGAGUUUUUGGGAAAAGUAGUCGGCUCGGACACGUACCGGUACAUUGGACGAAAAGUAUAAAGUGACCGAGGGGGGAGGGGGAUUGAAAUUUACAAACGUUACCGUUACCGUUACGUUACCGUUAACUGUGUCGCCAAUUUCGCGAGUUGUAACAAACGGCCCAGCCCAAUCGCUUUUGAUUUGCGCUUUUGAUGAUCCCAUAUUUCAUUAUUCGUGCGCGCUUUGAACUCAGAACGCAUCCCGUGCGCACCAGUGCCGUUUAUUUUACAAAUGAACAAGGACAACGCCGCUCGUGUUGUUCGCUCGCUCGCGACCGCUAAGGUAGCAAAUAAUCAACCCAAUGUAGUAUCAGGGCGGAAGCCUCCGGCGAAACAGCAAGUCGGCCGCACGGGACAGCCUUCCGGCGUGCCGCAAGGCCCGCACGACCCAGCUGCCCCUUCAGUUAUAUACUGUGACUCUCUAAGGGGAUCUGCUGAAGUUUUGGCCAUGGAAAGCCAUAGAAUAGAUAUGGUUUACGCAGUUCGCGCCAACGAACAAGUAACGUGCCAUGUAAACUGGUUGACUUUUUCAGGCCCACUUUUCCCAACAAGUAUUCGUAACGCAACGUAGCAUGUGAACUAACGGAACGUAGCAUGUAAAGAACUAGAACCACCGUAAAGUAUGGUAUCUGAAAGGGAAUGCGCUCCGAUCCAAGUUGGGAUGCCACUCUGGGUCGAACGACUUGAGCCGACUAGCAGCUUGCCAUUCUGGCCCCGGCGUCCUUGCAUGCAUAAAACGUUUUCUCUGUUCAAGUACGGCCUGUCUGCCAUGCUUAUUGGAUUUUGGCGCUACGGGUGAUCUUCCGUACUUGUCCGACCGCCUUCUGAGUUGGUAUAAGACACGGUGCUCUGGCAUGCUUUUUAUAAAGUGAGUUUGUGACACAGCAAGGCUGCUGGGUACUCUUGCAAGACUCUGGCGCUUCCAC